CUGAAAAGACUUUGCCUGUGGCAGUGAGUCUUUUCCCUCCCCAGGAAGGAGGCAGCUCAGCACCAUGCUAUGCAGUGGCUUGGAGCAAGACCACCUGACAUGGUGCAUGGUGCAGCCACUGUCCCUGAGUGGCCUCAGGUGUCUGCAUCAGACCCAGGCCUUCUAGAGGUGGCACCUCACCCCAAAGCUUUGCCCCAGAAGAUACAUUCACAAAGCAGAGCAGGAACUGGGAGUCUGAACAUCCAGUUCUCUGUGAAAGGAAGACAAGUCCUCCUUGGCCAGCCACCCUGGGGACUGAAGGAGACAAGGCUCGGAUCCUGAGACUCCACCAGUGGAAGGCAGUGUCAUCACCCCGCUAGGGCAGAGGUGGGGUGUUCACCUGUCCUUUUCCUCCUCCCACAGGAAGGUGAUAUUCCCCAGCUUCCCCUUGUGGUUAUCAGUUGUGUGACUUGUUUUGGCUAAUGAAAUGUGCACAAAAGCAGUAUGUGCUGUUCUGGUAUGGCCGGCGUCUGCCUGUACCAUGUCCUCAUAUUUACCUCUGCAGGUAGACAUUCCAGAUAAUAAAGUUAUCCCCAAGUGUCCCUUAGAGGAGAGCUAGCUAGAAAGCCACCUGGCUCACAGGAGACUGUGAAGCAGACUCCUGGAGUCCAGCCACUCAGAUUUACGGUCAUGUGCUGUCAAUCCUAGGUGGACUAAUUACCCCAUUAUACUUCUUUCUUGUUCUGAAUUUGAUUCUCUUCUGCUUUCUAAAGCUCAUGUUCUUCCCUGGAAGUUGGGAAAGUCCCAUGACUUGGCUCUCUGGUGUGAUGCCCUGGGUUGUGCAUAUGAGGGAUGUGUGGUGCCUGGAGGGCUGCUGUGGGUACAGUGGGUGCUUAGGUUGUGAGCUGAGCUUUCUCCCAUCCCUUGGGACCUGUGUGGAGCAGACAGGCCUUGUGGGUCCAGGAUGGGGACCUUGACCAGAGGGCCUGGCCUCACUCAGGUGGGAGGGGAGAGGGGCUUGCGAUGAAUGCCCUCAGGCAGCCUGCAGCCACAGAGAGGAGCCUGUGGUUACUCCAGUUACAGUGGAAUCCAUGGAUCAGGUGAUCGAUUCCUAGGAUCAAUUCACUGCAGGCUGACGAGACUCAGUGUGUUUGAGGGAUUGGCUGUUGCCCCGCCAAUGCAAAAACUUGCGCUGUAAGCAGUAAUUAAGAAGUGCUUUGCCCUUGGCUGCUGUUCCUGGGAUGAAUGCCAGCCCCGUGAGACAGGGACAAGUGAUGGCACCUGCACGCAUGCAGCCAGCAUGGGGCUGGGCAAGCCUUGCCCUGGUUCCAGCCUGGCUCAUCUGGUGCACUCUUCCGGGGUAGGCACUGCUGGAAAAGGCCUGGGAAGGUGCAGAGGGGAGUCUGCCUAUGUGGCCAGCACCAAGGGGCCAGUGUGGUCCUAUAGAAGUGUCUCUGGGCCUAGAGGUGGGAAGCCUGAGCUUCGUGAAGCUGGCCAGGCCACAGCCAUGCUCUGGGGCCCAGUCUUGUCCUCUGUACAAUGGUUAUACACAGAGUCUUGUCUGUUCAGUCUUCGAUCCUUGGGGCAUAGUGUUGUGCAGACAGUCUCUGCCCUCGGGAGCUUCAAGUCUGGUCACCAUUAUGGGACCUUGUAGGCAAGGAUCCUUCAAUGCAAUCUGCAAUGAAUGGUGCACUCUGAAGCCUUCCAUUCUGCAGAGAAAAUAAAUGAGGAGAGAGGGUGGGAGCAUGGGAGAAAGCAGGACUGUGGAUGACCUGAUAUGCAAGCA
RNAcentral lists this long non-coding RNA (1765 nucleotides) under Heterocephalus glaber (naked mole-rat). Its description in RNAcentral is "lncRNA (ENSHGLG00100033981.1)". Lineage: Eukaryota; Metazoa; Chordata; Mammalia; Rodentia; Bathyergidae. The record is from RNAcentral.